CCUACGGGAGGCAGCAGUGGGGGAUAUUGCACAAUGGGGGAAACCCUGAUGCAGCGACGCCGCGUGUGGGAAGACGGUCCUCUGGAUUGUAAACCACUGUCCCCAGGGACGAAGAUGACGGUACCUGGGGAGGAAGCUCCGGCUAACUACGUGCCAGCAGCCGCGGUAAUACGUAGGGAGCGAGCGUUGUCCGGAAUUACUGGGUGUAAAGGGAGCGUAGGCGGGGAUGCAAGUUGGGGGUCAAAACUACCGGCUCAACUGGUAGUCGCACUCAAAACUGCAGCUCUUGAGUGGAGUAGAGGCAGGCGGAAGUCCUAGUGUAGCGGGUAAAUGCGGAGAUAUUAGGAGGGACACCAGUGGCGAAGGCGGCCUGCUGGGCUUUUACUGACGCUGAUGCUCGAAAGUGUGGGGAGCAAACAGGAUUAGAUACCCUUGUAGUC
RNAcentral lists this ribosomal RNA (440 nucleotides) under uncultured bacterium. RNAcentral describes it as "partial 16S ribosomal RNA". It matches the Rfam family "Bacterial small subunit ribosomal RNA", at positions 338 to 795 of the family's 1533-position model. The record is from RNAcentral.